AUUUGAAUAGCUUAAUUCUUAAAGCUCCACUUUGAAGCUGUGGUUAUGAUAUAUUUUAUCUUCAAGUA
Molecule: transfer RNA, 68 nt
Filed under: Euphaea ornata
Lineage: Eukaryota; Metazoa; Arthropoda; Insecta; Odonata; Euphaeidae
Description: tRNA-Phe
Source: RNAcentral